RNAcentral lists this long non-coding RNA (208 nucleotides) under Malus domestica (apple). RNAcentral describes it as "long non-coding RNA (MDOM_LNC008375)". The record is from RNAcentral. Lineage: Eukaryota; Viridiplantae; Streptophyta; Magnoliopsida; Rosales; Rosaceae.
ACUAAAAGGGUAUGUACGACAAGACUGAGUGUAAUAUAAUUAUGCUCAAUACUACGCUCUCAUAAUAGCGGGGCGAUAAAUCGCUAGUCACCUACAAGUCGGAACCACCUAUGAUGGUCUGUACGACAAGACUGUGCACCUAAAUUGGAUCCAAUGUGAGCAUAUGGUGCGGGAGGUGACAUUAUAAACAGGCCUGUGUCAUAUCUCU